CGUGUAGGCGGCCUGUCAAGUCGGGCGUGAAAUCCUCUGGCUCAACCAGAGAACUGCUCCCGAAACUGAUAGGCUUGAGUAUAGGAGAGGAAAGCGGAAUUCCUGGUGUAGCGGUGAAAUGCGUAGAUAUCAGGAAGAACACCAGUGGCGAAGGCGGCUUUCUGGCCUACUACUGACGCUGAUGCGCGAAAGCCGGGGGAGCGAACAGGAUUAGAUACCCUGGUAGUCC
RNAcentral lists this ribosomal RNA (229 nucleotides) under uncultured bacterium. RNAcentral's name for it is "partial 16S ribosomal RNA". It matches the Rfam family "Bacterial small subunit ribosomal RNA", at positions 568 to 796 of the family's 1533-position model. The record is from RNAcentral.